GGGGAUUUAGCUCAGCGGCAUAAGCACCUGCCUUGUAAGCAGGCAGUCCUCA
RNAcentral lists this transfer RNA (52 nucleotides) under Cavia porcellus (domestic guinea pig). Lineage: Eukaryota; Metazoa; Chordata; Mammalia; Rodentia; Caviidae. The record is from Rfam by way of RNAcentral.